UAAACUGAUAUAAAUACGUGGAAAACGCUCCCGUGAGACUUACCCUUCUCCGUUUGAUACGACUAGUUUCGAGAGAGAUAAUCCUGUUAGAACGGAGAAUCGCGAAUCGGAAACCGAAUUUUCAAGAUUUCCACCGAUCAGCUUUGAAGGAAAAGAACGGCCAUCGUAAAGGUAGAAACGAAUACGCGUUAUCGGAUCGAUUGGAUCGCGACGAGAAAAAGAAGAAAACAUGCAACAACGUCGUUUAUACCCCUCUGCAACCGUCUCGUGUUCGAUAUCCAAAAAGAAAAAAAUGGAAAGAAACUAAAAAGUUUCCCUCGGAAAGGAAGCGAUCCAAGCAGAUAACGGAGACGCGUAAUCUCGAUGCUACUGCAGCUAGAAACAGCCGUUGCGGACGUAUCAAAAUAUUCGAGCUCUGCAUAAUUUCUCGUGAUAAGUGACAGGCUAAAAGCUGUCCCUAAGUCGAAUCGACCGAAUGUCUGGUUUAGUUUAAAACUAGAUCUUAGACGUUGAUUCUUUUGAGAGCAACAUUGUCCGUCGGUUAGGAAGAGGAGUAAGAGACACGUGCCACUUAUCCACCGUGUUAUCGUACGACUCAUGGCUGACUAUAGAUACCAGAAGCUGAACACUCGAGUAUGUAUAUACGUCGGGAUGAUUUUCGGCUGCGUAUGUACGCAUACACGCGUAUCGCGAUCGCUGCGUUCGUCUCUCGAGUCGGCUUUUCAUCCGUUUUUAAGCGAGCCGUGGAGAUUUUUCAAGAUCGCUCGACGCGCGCUAUUAACUAACUGCGCCAUUAAAAGCGUUAUAUCUUCCUAUCUUUGUUUAUUACUUCUACGAAACGAAACAUUUCUUAUUUGGAUUCAAGGAGUAACAUUUUUUACGAUGUAAGACAACAUCGUCCCUUAACUGUACGUGCGAACCCCUAGCACACAUUAUUUCUUCCUUCGCGGAAAAUGCACCGACGUUGGACUUUAUUUUUCUUUUUCUUCUUUUUUUCUCAUUUACGUAGGAGCGAAUCCCCUGUAGAGGGCUUAGAAAAGGGAAAGUAACCAGAGGAGAAGCUUAGAGAUGCUUUUGACGAGUUCUACUCUCUUGACGUUCUAUGGGGCCCAGCAUGGUGAAUGACAGAGUGUAUCAUUUUAUGCAGACGAGUAUCUUCAUUUCGCGUGGUUCUCUCUUCUCUGAACUUAAUAAUAUCGCAUUGAGUGUGAAAAACGGUUCAUGAUAGUCACAAAAUGACACGAUUAAUAACAGCCAAUACUAUCAACAAGAAACUAUGUUAUUUUUUUUCUACCAGACCUGUAUGUAUAUACGACGAAUUAACACUCAUCCUUAUCGAAGAAGAUAUCGAGCGAAACGAUAUACUAAAAGAGUCGAUGGUAUCUCAACAGAGAGAAAUAUCUUCUCAAUGACUUACGAAAUAUGUAGAUCUCGCGGUUUUAUUCGGCUUAACGAUGACGCGAAACAUGCAACGGUACAGAGCGAUAUAAAGACAGAAGGGAAGCGAUUCUGGCACCGACAGAGAUCGCCAGAUACGCCUAAAACUGAGUUGCGUCAAUGUGCGGCUGGAAAAAUGAUUACCAUCGUGCGGUCAGUUUGUUUUAUUUACAAUGCGUGCCUCGUGUUGCAUAAACUUGUACGUGUUUACCUUCUUCCAGGUGUUUUGGGGUUACGUAUACGGCCAACCGAUCAUCGAAUCUUAUUCAUGGACUCAAUUGGGUUGCAAUUAAUCGACCAACAAAUUUCAAGAGGGAAACGCGCAUAUGCCGCCUGUCAGAAUUCGCUUUCUCAUGGAUGCGAGAAUCGAUUUGAAAUGAUUAGCGAUAAUGUCAAGGGAGUUCAGAGGCACGUCCGUGAUGAGUCCGUGACUGGCGUACCUUCUGUGCCGACGUGGUUAAGUUGCUCCAGUACGCCAAUACGUAACCACGAAUCCACCUAAUUGAAGUAACCACAAGGCGCAACGCGCUACGUUAUACGGCAAUGCAAUCGAGCCAGGCAAAGGUAGACAGACCUGCCACAGGUACAGAAAGAGAGAGAGAGAGAGAGAGAGAGAGAAGGAGAAAUAGGAGGAGAGAGAGAGAAAGAGAGAGAGAGAAAAUGGGAGGACCUGGUUCGAAGAAGACGCGAGGACGAAGGGAGAAAAGUCCCAAUAAUCCAUGAUGGAUAAGUAAUAUUAGUACUAUACGUCCACGGUACGAUUUUCUCUCCGUUAGGUCGACGAAUAACCAUCUGCCGCUUGUCUUCCGACGUCUAGUAUUUCCAUUUAGACGUAGCAUUUCGAGCUUCGAACAGUACGGAAUGCUAAGCGCACUCGACGAUUCUUUACUCUUAAAGUGGAAAUCACAUAUGAAUUAUAAUAUCAAAUAAAGAAUAACGAAAAAAAAAAUACUUUCAAUUUAAAAAAUACAGAACAAACGGGAAAAUAAUUUGUUAUGCAUAGUAUAAAUAUAUUUAUAUGGAUAUUUUAUAAUGUAAUUGCGUCUACAUAUCGUGACACGUAUAAUGCUAAUAAAUGCCACCUCUUGACUGGAUACAGAAUGUAAAAAUCGAUCGAUGAUCUCUUUAUAAUGCUCACUCAUGCACCGUCCCACACAUAAUAUCAUGGUCGAUCGAAUUCUUUGAAAAACUUUUCGAUCGCAGAAAAAUGCAUUAUAUUUUAGAAAUUUGUCUCACAUGUAUCCAGUUCACGUAUAGUAAGAAGUUUUUAGAAAAACAAUAGGCAUUGAUUUUUUAUUUAUCAAAUAAUAUAAUAUUCGUUGAAAUAAAUAAUACGUAAACACGCAAUUUUACUGGGAAAUAAGCUCAAUGCUUUCGACCAGCUAUGACCUUCGUCCAUACAAUCGUACAUGUAUGUAUUUUCAUGAAAAGUUAUAUGUAUACAUGUAUAACUAUUUUUUACAAGAAUUUCAUACCGCGUUUGAUAUAGUGCAGCCAAUAUUACUAGCAAAUUUAUUCACUGAAAUCUUAUAAAAUAUAAAUGCCUGUUAUUACUAACCUCUUGUUCGUCGUUUUAAUACAUCGUAUCAGUGUGCAUCUGUAACGCUGAUAUGUACAAAAUUAGAUGUAGAAAGUUUUGCCAAACCAAAUUCGCUACUAUAAAAACAAUUUGCGUGAUUUAGCUGCUCAAUUUCGAAAAUGUACCAAAAAUGAAUAUGUCAAAGAAAAAUAAUAUUUCCAUGUCUGUCGUCA
Long non-coding RNA from Bombus huntii, 3189 nucleotides. RefSeq lists it as uncharacterized. The record is from RefSeq and is a predicted model, not a curated record. NCBI's taxonomy places the organism in Eukaryota, Metazoa, Arthropoda, Insecta, Hymenoptera, Apidae. The transcript is spliced from 2 exons.